This 254-nucleotide ribosomal RNA is filed under the name uncultured bacterium. RNAcentral's name for it is "partial 16S ribosomal RNA". It matches the Rfam family "Bacterial small subunit ribosomal RNA", at positions 524 to 776 of the family's 1533-position model. The record is from RNAcentral.
UACGUAGGACCCAAGCGUUAUCCGGAAUUACUGGGCGUAAAGAGCUGCGUAGGUGGCAUUAUAAGUGGAGCGUGAAAGCGUGCGGCUCAACCGCAUUAUUGCGUUCCAAACUGUAAAGCUUGAGUAUGAGAGAGGUAGAUGGAAUUUCUAGUGUAGGAGUGAAAUCCGUAGAUAUUAGAAGGAACACCGAUGGCGUAGGCAGUCUACUGGCUCAUUACUGACACUAAGGCACGAAAGCGUGGGGAGCAAACAGG